CAGGGGCAAGCGGGGUCCACCCCGGCCCUCCCCGGUCGCGGCGGGUCCUCCCGGCCGCCCGCCCUCGCCUUCUCUCUUCCCCUUUAACUUCCUAGCUUCCCCGCGGCGCCCGGAGCAGGAGCAGGCAGGUUUAUUGAAAAGGAAGCGGAUGCAGACCCCCACUCACCUCGAUCCUAUCCCCGUGGCCCGUCGUCUCCGCCGAGAGGUGGCCCCGGGGCUUCCGCCCGGGCCGGGCGCUCGCGAGGGACUCCCGAGCCGCGGGGACCGCCACGCGGGGCGCCCACCUGUCCGGCGGCGGGCGCGGGGCUGCGCGGGGCUGCGCGGGGCGGGCUGCGCGGGGCGGGGCGGGGCGGCGGCACCUGAGACCGCCGGGGCUUCCGAGCCGAGCGCGCUGCCCCGGGAGCGAACGGCAGCGGGUGUCCCCCGCCGCGCUCCCCAGAGGCCGCCGGGCAGUCGCCUGGGAGAGCGAUGGUCCCCGGGACCUAGGCGUCGGCCCCAUCCUCCUUUGAAAAUUGGAAUAACCUUGAACUUCAUCGAACCUGUUCUCUCAUUUGCACUUGGAGUCUUGAGGAAGGGAUUUGCCCAAAGCUGCACAGUGAGUUGUUGGCAGAGCCAGGUAGGAACUUACUUUAUGUUGUCAACACCUUUUGAAGAACCGGAGAGAGGAACAGAUGCUUUAAAUGCACAUUUAAUGUGGAAUUGA
Molecule: long non-coding RNA, 703 nt
Filed under: Canis lupus familiaris (dog)
Lineage: Eukaryota; Metazoa; Chordata; Mammalia; Carnivora; Canidae
Description: lncRNA (ENSCAFG00030004982.1)
Source: RNAcentral